This 58-nucleotide transfer RNA is filed under the name Sphaerirostris lanceoides. RNAcentral describes it as "tRNA-Lys". The record is from RNAcentral. Lineage: Eukaryota; Metazoa; Acanthocephala; Palaeacanthocephala; Polymorphida; Centrorhynchidae.
GGUUUGUUGAGCUGUGAUCAAUUUUUUCCACGAGUUGGGGGGAGAUGCAGAUGGUCUU